GAGGGAGAGGUGGAGUCUCCUGUGCCGUCUUCAGUCUUGAGGAAGAAUGGAGGCUGCAGCCUGGCCAGGAAGAGUGCACCUCGCCAGGAAGGCAGGUGGCUGUGUCAGACUAGACUGGCUCCUGCGCUGGAACCUGGCCCCAUGAGCAAGAGCUUUCCUUCAGGAGAUUUUGCCAUUGAAAGUGUCACCGAGUCAAGAGUUUGGAACAGGAAGAAGUAGAUGUGAUCUGGAACAAGGAGCUAUCAUGGGUCCAGCUUGUCUGCCUAGGCUGGGAUGGUAACUGUGGUAGGAGCACCUCCAAACACUGGGACACGGUCUGUCAGGUGAAAGCUCAGUGAUGAGGUCUUGCCAUGACAAGGACUUGAGAAUUGAAGAAAACAGUGGCUCCUGGAUGGAGAAGAAGAAGAAAGCAAGAUAGCAACAAGAAGAAAACUACAAUAGCAAGA
Molecule: long non-coding RNA, 446 nt
Filed under: Serinus canaria (Common canary)
Lineage: Eukaryota; Metazoa; Chordata; Aves; Passeriformes; Fringillidae
Description: lncRNA (ENSSCAG00000000821.1)
Source: RNAcentral